UCACAUCCGCUCCCAUAGUUUCACUCGUUCUAUUACCCCUUUCCUCUUACAAGCAAAGCUUCAGUAUUCUUAACUAUGGCAGAAGCUUGCCUCGCCGAUUUUGAGUAAGUCCUUUGUCUCUCUUCAAAACCCGUGACUCUUCUCUCUCUCUCUCAUUUGCAACGAGAUUUAGUCAACACAAGAGGCCAAAAGACUUUGGGCAUUUCGAUUUUUCUGACCAAAUCACGUGAGGCUCUUUCGAAUUACAACGUUCAGAUUCAAACGGUUUUUUUUACUGAAAUUCAAAUCCUUGAUUUCAAAUUUCUGCUCAAGAGGACCCAUCCAAAAUCAUCUCUCAAAGAACCCUAACUUUCCUCUAAAAAUACCCUCUUUUGUUUUCAGACGAAGCAGAGGUGGAAGGAACAAGAAUCACCACUUUACAUUGUCCAAAAUACUAAGUCUAAGAAGGACUCCGCCUUUGCUCGAACACUAUCAGUUUUACUCUUACCGUUGUUAACUUUCUUUCUAUCUCGUUUAACUUUGGUCGUGACAGAUAUUCGAACUCGUUCGGCUUGAAGUUCGGAUCUGUUCGUGACAAUAUAGAGUAGAUUCGGGAUUCGAUGCCCUAGUUCACUAUCCCACAAAAGGUAAUAGUCGACCCUGCUUCAGGUUCUCCUAUUUAAUUUAAAAUAUUGUGUUUACAUAGAAGAAUCGCGUUUUAGGUUUCCUUUUCUUUAGUUGUCACUAUUUUUAAGUUUUGUUCUUGGUCGAGUUUAGUAUAAGCAUUGCGCUAGAAAUUAUGCUUUAACUUUUCUCUAAUCGCAUCUAGAUAUAUUGUUAUUUUGGACAACCUGUCGUGGUAUCAUGCCUUUAGAUUUUCUUAAAAAUCAGAAUUAUGUUUAAAGUUAUGACCUGAACAUGUACUUAGUGAAAAUCAUGCUUUUAGGGUCUGUUGUCAUCUUUGCGUGAAUAUUAAAACUUAGGACCUUGUUUCUGAUCAAUGUGAUGUUCUCUAGGUAUUAGGCCAAGGAUCUCGUUUUUGUGAAUUGGGAUCAUAUGAGAAAAAUCAUGUCUGCUCCUAUCUUUUCUUGAAAGAUGAUGAAUUAUAUUAAGUUUUGAAAUACCUCAAAUUGAAACAGAUUCUAGUUGACUCGAUUCACUAUGAUAAAACACUGAUUCUGAGCUUACAAGUUCUUUUUUAUAAAUAUUGACAUCCUUUUGCUACUGUCGAAUGUUGUAAAAUAUGUCAUUACCUACUCACGUUUAAAUCAACUUUUAUUUGAUUCCUAUAGAGUGGACUUUAAGACUUUAUAUUGAUACUGAAUAAGAAUAUUUACUUUUGAAAAAGAAGUGAGAAUUCUUCUUAAGGAUUUCAUACUAUUAACUUAUAAAAAUAGUUGCUUCUCUUACGUUCCAGGUUAGAGUAACAUAAUUAAGCAUGCUUUUGCCAGCAUUAGAAUUUCAAGUUGUGUAUUCUUUUUUCUGCUUAAUCUUUCUUCAUUACUUUUUGUAUUUUGUUUUUGAUUCUCCCUCUACCUACUCCUAAUUUUUUCUUUCUUUAUUUUGUUUUGCAUGAUCACCGGAGCCCAAGAGUUUCACUUUAAGACUCGAUGCCGCAGUGGCACUACAUGGAGUCUAUACAUCCUCACCUUUCCUGCUUUUGCGUUACCUAGACAACAAUAAAUAGAGAAGAGAAAACCUUCUGGGGAGCUGAACUGGCUCUUUACAACUUCAUUUUACUUCAUUUAUGGCGUACAUGUUAAAUAUUUUUAUUUUGAUUGUGUCAUUGAUUGUUAAGAUCUGAAGUUACGAUACAAUUAUAGCUAUAUCUUGUUUAACUGUGCAGGUUUUAUUUUAUAACGAAAGUACUUACUUAUCAUAUAGGUAAUUACAGUUAACUGAAGCUCUUUAGAAUCUUGAUAUGUCUUAGAUGCUAGUUGUUAAAAUUAUUACAGUAAUAAUAACUUUUAAAUUUUAUCAAAUAGUAUUUCUAACACACGGUUGCUGCCAUCUAUGUUUUUCCUCUCACUGUUUCAAGCAUUCAAGUCAACUCUAUUUCUUUGCUUUCUAUAAUAACAUUUCUGAAUUAUUGCUGCCAUCUAUGUUUUUCCUCUCUACUGUUUCAAGCAUUCAAGUAACAUCUAUUUUCUUUGCUUUCUAUAAUAACAUUUCUGAAUUAACUUGUCUGAUGUUUAAGAUUUGAAUUUAACAAGUUAAAAUUGGCUUUUUGGACUAGAUCCACUUUUAGGCAAGAAAGAGCGUUUUUCAAUGUUAGAAGCUUAAAUCAAUUUUCCUUCAAGACAAAGAAAACUCUUCAACAUGGUUUUUUAAAGUAAAUCUGAUUUUCGAAAGAUCUCUAUAUUUACACAUCGCAUUAAUUAAUGUAAGUCCGGUCCGGAUGUUAAAGGGUGACUUAAAAACCUUUCCUUUAGAUUAAAUACCUAGAAUUUUAGGUUAAUAAUAUUAACAAAGUUAUACUUUAUUAAUACUUUAAUCAAUUUAGGUGUUCUAAUUUAGAAAUAAUUAGGUGACGACUCUUUUUACUUUAAUAAAAUUCAGAAUUGCUUGUAUGUUGUACCUUACUUUAACCUGUUUAAAAUGGGGUAUAACAGCUGGUCAAUCUCUUUUUGAGGUUUUGCAGGAUGAUUUUGUUCGUGGACUCUGCUUGCCCGUUUCCACUGGGGUGGUAGGGUGUUGACAGGAUCCUUUUGAUCUUAUUGUCUUCCGAAAACUUGCUUACUUUGCUGCCAAUGAACUGUUUCCCAUUGUCGCACACGAUCUCAACAGGCAUUCUGCACCGGCAUAUUAUGUGGUCCCAGAUGAAAUUAAUGACUUCCUUCUUCCUGACUUUUUUGAAUGCCUG
This 2842-nucleotide long non-coding RNA is filed under the name Nicotiana tabacum (common tobacco). RNAcentral describes it as "long non-coding RNA (NTAB_LNC006871)". The record is from RNAcentral. Lineage: Eukaryota; Viridiplantae; Streptophyta; Magnoliopsida; Solanales; Solanaceae.